Non-coding RNA from Picea glauca (white spruce), 71 nucleotides. The record is from Rfam. NCBI's taxonomy places the organism in Eukaryota, Viridiplantae, Streptophyta, Pinopsida, Pinales, Pinaceae.
AUUAGAGUGGUGUAGUGGAAGUGCAAUGGCCCCAUAACCCAUUGGCCUAGGUUUGAAUCUUGGCUCUAAUA